RNAcentral lists this ribosomal RNA (260 nucleotides) under uncultured prokaryote. Its description in RNAcentral is "partial 16S ribosomal RNA". It matches the Rfam family "Bacterial small subunit ribosomal RNA", at positions 524 to 782 of the family's 1533-position model. The record is from RNAcentral.
UACGUAGGGUGCAAGCGUUGUCCGGAAUUACUGGGCGUAAAGAGCUCGUAGGUGGUUUGUCGCGUCGUCUGUGAAAUCCCGGGGCUUAACUUCGGGCGUGCAGGCGAUACGGGCAUAACUUGAGUGCUGUAGGGGAGACUGGAAUUCCUGGUGUAGCGGUGAAAUGCGCAGAUAUCAGGAGGAACACCGAUGGCGAAGGCAGGUCUCUGGGCAGUUACUGGCGCUGAGGAGCGAAAGCAUGGGUAGCGAACAGGAUUAGA